ACCAGGUAUUCAAUAUCAAUACAAUUUGCAAAAGUCAGCUCUGAAAAGUCACUUGCACUGUGUAAACAAACACCUGCAGAAAGUUAUAAUUUCUAUUUCUACAAGUUUUUUUUAUUGGCAAGAAACUUUUAUUGCCAACUUUAUUAUCCGCAGGUACUAUUGCCAAUGGAAACUGCUAAAAGUCAGUUCAACUCUCAAGUUAGUCACUUCCAGUUUUACGAAUAUCGUAAAACUGUGUAAGUACCUAUAGCUUAUUAGUUACAUACUAUCGUUUAUCAUACGAGUACAUCGGUGCGUAAUUAAUUUUGUCUUCUUUUGAGUUAAGAUGAUGCCCGCGGCUUCGUCCGCGUCGAUUUAGAUUGUUCAAAAUCCCGUGGGAAUUUUUGAUAUUCCGGGAUUUAAAAAAAAUCCGACAAAUUGAGAACCUCCUUUUUUGCAAGUCGGUUAAAAAGUCGCAAACGUCGCAAACCAUAGCCAAAGGUAAAAAUCGGAUGGGCAUUGAAAAGCUAGCAGACAGGUUCACUUUCGCAUUAAUAAGGGAUUAUUAAUAUUAUAAGUAUUGUAGAUGCUCGAUGAGUUGUAAUUUCUAAUACUUACAUAAUUUACAUAUACCUAAAUAUGAUAUAAAUAUAACUUUUAUUAAUUAUAUUAUUAAAAUAACAGGUAAAAUACAAUAGCAAAUUGUUAUCGUUUAGGUACUUAUACACCUUUCACUAAUCAGUGCCACACUUAUUGAUAGCUAUAACCAUAAACCGAUAGAUGUUGUUAUGACUUAUCAUUUAACUAGCUAA
This is a long non-coding RNA of Maniola jurtina (meadow brown), 791 nucleotides long. RefSeq lists it as uncharacterized. The record is from RefSeq and is a predicted model, not a curated record. The transcript has 3 exons. NCBI's taxonomy places the organism in Eukaryota, Metazoa, Arthropoda, Insecta, Lepidoptera, Nymphalidae.